This 30-nucleotide transfer RNA is filed under the name Eremocaulon aureofimbriatum. Its description in RNAcentral is "partial tRNA-Leu". Lineage: Eukaryota; Viridiplantae; Streptophyta; Magnoliopsida; Poales; Poaceae. The record is from RNAcentral. RNAcentral also lists the same sequence under 1 other name.
GCCGCCAUGGUGAAAUUGGUAGACACGCUG